RNAcentral lists this long non-coding RNA (4465 nucleotides) under Homo sapiens (human). RNAcentral describes it as "non-protein coding lnc-ERMARD-2:1". The record is from RNAcentral. Lineage: Eukaryota; Metazoa; Chordata; Mammalia; Primates; Hominidae.
AGCGCCGCCGCCACCGCCAUGGCCGUCGCCAGCGCGCCGCCCGCGCGGGAGGGCGCCAAAGGCUGGGAGGGCGCGGGGCUGCGGGCCGGAAUGGAGGAGGCCCAGCGGCGGCGGCGCUUCUCACGUCAGCCCAACCCGCCCGGCCGCGGCCACCGCCUCAGCACCGUUGCCCCCCACAGCUCCGCCGCUGGCCUCAGCGCCGCCGCGACUCCCUUCAGCCCCGCCACUCGCUCGCCUCAGCCCCGCCGCUCGCUCGCCUCAGCCCCGCGGCCGCCUCAGCCCCGCCGCUCGCCUCAGCCCCGCCGCUCGCCUCAGCCCCGCCGCUCCCCUCAGCCCCGCGGCCGCCUCAGCCCCGCCGCCGCCUGGCUCCCCACGGCCCGGCGUUGUACUCGGCCGCGGCUCCCCCCAGCCCCCGGCGCGCCCCACCUCCCGCCCGCCCUCCGGCCCGCCCCGGCCCGGCACGUCGCCACUUGGCGCGCUCGCAGCCGCCCCCUCCCCGCGGCCCCCGGCCCGGCCCCUCCGCGCGUCACCCUCGUUCCCUCCCUCUCUCCGCGCCCCCGCCGCGCCCCUCCCCGCCCCUCCCGGGGGUCCCCGCCCCGCCCCCUCUCUGCCGGGGGUCGCCCUGCCCGGAGCAGUCGCGCGGAGACUGCGCGGCCUCCGCCUCUACGCGCUCGCGGUCGCCGCUCCUCUCCCGCCUUUGUUCUCGGGUCGCCCCUCUCGCUGGUGGCGCUCCGAGAGAGCAGCGGAGCCACCUGCCCAGGCCACGCUUCCCCGAGCAUCCGCAGCUGCACCCGGGGGCUGUCGGCGCCCGCCCCGGAGCGUGCGGGAGGCACAGCGGGAAGAAGUCGCUGAGAUUCGGCCCUCGUGGCUUUGCGUGCCCGCGUGGUUGAUGCCUCCGCCGAGAACGCGGUCGGCCGGGAGCCGGGGAGGAGCGUGGACGCCGGCCUGGCAGGUACCCCCGCGAGAACGUGGGAGCCGGUGUAUUUCAGCUGCAUUUAUUACUGAUCUCGGGCUGCACCAGGGCACUUGUAGGACCGCACUAAAAACAGCGGAAAGUGAGGAGCCAAGCCUGGGUCCGGGGCGGCCCGCCGUACAGCUGGCCUCACGGAUUCCACUGCCUGCGCCUGCAGAUGACUUGUUCUGGAGAGUAGAGAAUGUUCUCGGAUUUAAAGUACAAUCCGGUUUCCUUUCCAUUCAUUAUAGUUGCCUACACUCAACAAACAAAAGUUGGGAAAGAUAAAGGGAUUAUUCUAGCGCGUCACAUUGACAAACACCGACGUUAACACGCUCAGUCCAGCCUGACUCACUUGCCUCAGGUCAGAGAGGUCACCACUGACGACGCCGGGCCCUCAAGCCGAUCCUAAUCCAGCUUGGUUCUCUCAGCCUCAGCCAGACCAUCCGUUCUUGCCUCUGUCCCACCACGUGCAGGUGUAAGCUUCCGCCGCACUUCUUGUCUGAAUCUGCCAAGAAGAAACUGCAUCUUUCAGCUAAAUUCUUUUCACUGAUCAGGGUAGAGUUUAGCGGUUUUUUUUUUAAGAAAAAAAACAAAAACAAAAAAAAACUCUUAAGCUAUUUGGUACUCCUCUCCCUCCGGGAUUCUGUCUCUAGAUUGUGAAAGCUGUCAGAGAAUGGAGUCAGGGAAAGCCGUGAUGGGAAAGUUCUCACUAAUAAUUGCCUGAUAUAAAGAAUUAGCACAAAAGACUGCCAAAACCACAACCUUGCACAAAGGCCACAAAACUACACAAAAAAAUGCUUCAAGGACAUUUGCGCAGCAACUGCCUGUCCAACCUUGGACUGGCCAUCCCCUUUGUUACUGAUCUUUGUAGCCAAGGAUAAUUGUUUCAAAACAACUUACGUAAUCCUCCUCGUUUUUCCUUUUAAACCCCUUAUCUUCCUUUACCUCCCUGAAUACACCUAUAGUUUACUAUGACACCAUAUUCUACAUUGCAAUGCCCACUUUCAAAUAAAUUUGUCAUGUUUGGCAAACCUGUCUGUUAUUUAGGUUGACAAGAUCAAAUGCAAAUUUAUUCUGGAGUCAACAAAUAACUGAUUCAGUCUUCCAAUGUGCAAGGCAAAGAAGAAUAUUAAGGAGACACUGUAUAGAUUAGAUCCCUGCCUAUAGGCAGCUUCAACACUAAUACAAUAUGGUACGAAUAUAUAAUUGUACUUUAAGGCAGCUUAGGUGGGAAAACAACUAGCAACUAAAAAAAAAAAUGGAGUUUACUACCAACUAAAAAAAAUGGAGGUUUCAAGGUUGACCUAGAAUUUGAAAACUGCUUUAAAGACAGGUAAGAAAGACACAGGUAGAUGUGCAAUGGAAGUAGAAAUUGGGUUUCAAGCCCCAAACAGGCUGAGGGGUGGGAAAAUAGACAUAUUCAGGUACAUCAAUCGUUCCAGUUUGGCAUAAGAAUGAGAUAAAUGAAGAUGGAUUCUAGGAGUUAAGGAUGAAAUAUGUAGGGAGGUACUAUGAUGUAAUGGAGAGAACAAAGAUUUCAAGUUAAGACUUUGGUUUAAAUCCCAGCUGUGCCUCUUAUUAGCUGUGUGAUCAAAGGUAAAUUAGUUAAUCUCUCUGACCCUCCAUUUCCUCAUUUGUAUGAUAACAAUAAUGUCCAAUUAUUCCACAAAUAUUUUAUGGCAAGCCAAGUAUUAACUAAGAACUAUGUUAAAUGAUGAAGAUAUAAAAAAACCAUUUAUUCAUUCAUUCAUCAAAUGAAUGCCUUACUGUUUACUAAGUUACACCCUGAGUUAGGCCCUGGAAAUACUGAUAAGGGGGAAAAAAGCAUGAAACCGUAUGAGACCACUUAGAUUAUGCAGAUAUACGUGAAAAUAAGGCCCAAGACCAAGAAGUCCAAAGGUACUCAACUUGUGGAAGUAAGAUAGAGAAGGAAAAAAAAGAAAACUAAGUGUAAAGUACUGUAAACUGAAAGGAGAGAGUGUUUUAAAAGAGGGACUGGUCAGCUCUCCUAAUGGAGAAGUUAGUAAGGUGGCAGAGAAGAAUACAUUGUAUUUAUCAACCUGGAGGUAAUUAACUGUCUUGACUGUUUCAAGCUAUUUCAGCAAAGUGGUGGUUUCAGAAACUAAAUUAAAGCAGAUUAAGGGAGGAAUGGAAGCCUAGGAAUUGGAGCCAGAGUAUAGACAACUCUUCUGUGUAGUUUUAUUAUAAAAAGUAAUGGAGAAAGAGAGUAUCUGGAGAGGUGGUAGGGAUGUUUUUAAGAUGGAAGACAUUAGCACAUGUUGGUAUACUGAAAAGAAUGACUGAGUAGGAAGGCAGAAAACCAUGAUUGAGCAGAGAGAGGAAAUGCUACUGGAAGGCAGCUUGUGAGAAGGCAAGGAAAAAUGGGCUCCAGAGCACAGGUAUUAGACAGGAAGCAGAAUCCACCCAAUUUAACAGGAAAGACAGAAGGUGGUCGCAGCUGCAAGCAGGUGAGUGGAAAACUUGAAGGUUUGUUUUUUUGUUUUUUUGUUUUUUUUUGAGACAGAGACUCACUCUGUUGCCCAGGUUGGAGUGCAGUGGCCUGAUCUCGGCUCACUGCAAGCUCCACCUCCUGGGUUCACGCCAUUCUCCUGCCUCAGCCUCCCAAGUAGCUGGGACUACAGGUGCCCGCUACCACACCUGGCUAAUUUUUUGUAUUUUUAGUAGAGACGGAGUUUCACCAUGUUAGCCAGGAUGGUCUCGAUCUCCUGACCUCAUGAUCUGCCUGCCUCGGCCUCCCAAAGUGCUGGGAUUACAGGCGUGAGCCACUGCACCCAGCCAACUUGAAGGAUUUUUAUUUCUGAUAUAUUUUCUUUCCUUCAUGAAAUAUAAAGGGAAAAUCAGCUGACAGUUGUGUAGGGGAGAGAGAUACAGAAGAUCUGAGGAAGAAGGAGGUGUGUCAGCAGGAAAGCAAAGUUUCCAGGAUGCCAAGUGUUUUGCCUUCUUGAGAGUUAUGGUCAUGAAUUUAAAGUGAAACUACUCGGUCUGGCUUUGUCAGGUUCUCAGUCAAGUUUACCUACUUGGAUUCAGGCUUGGACAAAGUGGAUAAUGGGGUUCAUUCAGGAAGGGGUUUUCCAGGUGAGGAAGAGGGACAAAGAAAUUGAAGUCUGUUUGUAAAGGAGUGAUUAUAAUGAUGAGCCAUGAUAUCUAAGCUGGACAAGGUAGGAAAUUUGAGGGCUAUAAAUGGUGAAAAAAGCCAAUGAACUGGAGAUUUCAAUAAGAUUAGAGAAUGGCUGUCUUCGGGGUACUAGAGGUGGUGAGCUGGAAGGACAGGAAAUGAUUGCAUGAGAAUAACUUGCUUGAAAUAAAGAUUUCAGAAGUCAUACUAAUAUUGGCGACAGCAAAGUCUAGAGGGGUAAAAGGCAACUGAAUGUGAGUUGGUUAAGGAAUUAGAAAGCAUACAGCCAGUCCUAGCUUGGCAUGGUAGAACAUGACUAGAAAAAUGACCAUGGAAGUUGAAAUUGUGCAAAGUGAUCUUAAUAAUCAAAGAGA